Molecule: ribosomal RNA, 329 nt
Filed under: uncultured eukaryote
Lineage: Eukaryota
Description: partial 18S ribosomal RNA
Rfam family: Eukaryotic small subunit ribosomal RNA
Source: RNAcentral
CCCUUAGAUGUUCUGGGCCGCACGCGCGCUACACUGAUGCAUUCAACGAGUCUAAAACCUGCUCUGAUAGGGGUGGGUAAUCUUUUGAAUGUGCAUCGUGAUUGGGAUAGAUGAUUGCAAUUUUUCAUCUUCAACGAGGAAUGCCUAGUAAACGCAAGUCAUCAGCUUGCAUUGAUUACGUCCCUGCCCUUUGUACACACCGCCCGUCGCUCCUACCGAUUGAAUGAUCCGAUGAAUAUCAUGGAUUGAGGAUGCAAGUAGGUUAGCCUAUCUUCAUCUUCGAGAAGUGAAGUAAAUCUUAUCAUUUAGAGGAACGAGAAGUCGUAACA